Long non-coding RNA from Coregonus clupeaformis (lake whitefish), 659 nucleotides. RefSeq lists it as uncharacterized. The transcript is spliced from 3 exons. NCBI's taxonomy places the organism in Eukaryota, Metazoa, Chordata, Actinopteri, Salmoniformes, Salmonidae. The record is from RefSeq and is a predicted model, not a curated record.
AGGUGACCCUGGGCUGGAAGGAAGAUCUGGACUGGGCCCUGAUGGACCGCCUGGACCUGGAGGACCACCCGGUCCCAAAGGGUCGGUUGGCCGUGAUGGGGAUAAAGGUCACAGUGGUGUAUCGGGCCCUGUGGGGGACGACGGGCCCCCAGGCCCUUGUGGAUCAUCACCCACUACAGACUUAAAUGGGCCCCGAGGGGACCCUGGAAAGUGUGGUCUGCCUGGUUUCCUUGGUGCUAAAGGACACCCUGGAUAUCCUGGACCCAAAGGCAUUGAUGGGAGGGACGGUGACCCAGGAAAUGGGACGAGAGGUGUGUGUGUGUGUGUGUGUAUGUGUGUGGGCAUGCGUGGUUGGACAGUAUGUGUGUGUAUUAUAAACUAGAAAAGAAAAUGUCAUGCUUCGUGGUAGUGACUGCAGUAGUGAUGGUAGGUGUGGUAACGCAUUUUUUACCAAAUCAUCUUAAAGGAACUUUAUUCAGCUAGACAAUCAAUUUCAGACACUUAGGGAUGAUUUUGACAUGAAAUGCAAACCAUAUUGGGGAUGUUGGCAUGGUAUUGCUAUCCCGGGCAAUCCCACCUGUACGUAAAUCACAUCACUCCAUAAAUAAAGGAUGGUGUUAAUUUUCCAGAACCUGAUUUGCAAAUGUCAGAGAACAAUC